Non-coding RNA from Ornithorhynchus anatinus (platypus), 72 nucleotides. NCBI's taxonomy places the organism in Eukaryota, Metazoa, Chordata, Mammalia, Monotremata, Ornithorhynchidae. The record is from Rfam.
UGCAGCGUGGCUCAGUGGAAAGCGCCUGGGCUUCGGAGUCAGAGGUCAUGGGUUCGACUCCCGGCCCUGCCA